CUCUAAGGUCCUGGAAGCACUGCUACGUCUGUCAGCCCUAGGGGGCUCUGAAGGGUCAAUGGAUUACUUUGCCUGGGACACAGUAGACACUCAGGGCAUUGGAGCUGUGAUCAUCACCGAAUGUCUAGGUGUGCCGGCAUUAUGCUAAAUGAAGGGAUAGAAAAGAUUGGGUGGAUUUUACUUGUUUGGAGUUGCUUCAUGCAUUUUCGAACCUGUGGUAGGAGGCAGACUAAUGCUCUCACCUGCCCCAAGGAGGUCCCAGCCCUGCUCUCUAGAAGCUGUGAUGAAGGUUUUGCAGCCGUAGGGUCUGGGGCCCAGAAGAAGGAGUGGAUCCUGAUUGGAUUGUUUAUCAGGAUAACCUCGUCACCUUGGCACAGAAUUGAUGAGGAAUAGGAGAGUGUAAGGAAGUCAGCACAAGUGUCAUUCUCAUUAGAGGUAUAAUUCAGAAAUGGGUUUGUAACCUAAACUGAGCCCACAAGAAACAAAGAGAGAUUUGCGGCAGGCUUUUCCACUCUCAUGAGCUUCUCUCCAGAAACGACCUUCCCUUCUACUGGACACUGUCAUCUGAGAGGCAAGCCCAAUAUAAGGGAAUCUCUGCUGCAAGAUGAAAGCACAGA
Molecule: long non-coding RNA, 617 nt
Organism: Equus asinus (donkey)
Lineage: Eukaryota; Metazoa; Chordata; Mammalia; Perissodactyla; Equidae
Source: Ensembl